RNAcentral lists this transfer RNA (72 nucleotides) under Camelus bactrianus (Bactrian camel). It matches the Rfam family "tRNA". Rfam says of the family: Transfer RNA (tRNA) molecules are approximately 80 nucleotides in length. Their secondary structure includes four short double-helical elements and three loops (D, anti-codon, and T loops). RNAcentral also lists the same sequence under 2 other names. Lineage: Eukaryota; Metazoa; Chordata; Mammalia; Artiodactyla; Camelidae. The record is from Rfam by way of RNAcentral.
AAAGGUAGAGCUCAGUAGUAGAGUGCGUGUCUAGCAGGCAUGAGGUCCUGGGUUCAAUCCCCAGUACCUCCA